GCUGUGCCCUCCGAUGGACAGAGCUAGGCAGCAGAUCCUGCAGGGCCCCUGGGUGAGCUCCUCAGGCUGUGCUCCUCAUCUCGUCCCUCUCACACCCUCCCUCUGCAGCCUGUGGGCUACACAGGCACGUAAAGAGACUGCCGAUUCCCCCAUUCCUCCGUGCUUUUGGCUGUGGGUGAUGACCUUGAACUCUCUGACAUGUCCUUGAGCAGCAAGGCGUGAGGGGGCAGGGUGUGGCAGGCCAAAAGAGGAGAGAGAAAGGACCAAUCAGCGGCAAGCUCGAGGCGCGUGAAACUAAGGCUUUAACCUAUCAGCGAGCAGCUGGGGGUGCGUGGACGGGCGCGUGAACAGCAGCGAAGGUAUAUAAUGUUGGUACAGGUAAGAGAGAGGUUUUUUGGUCAAAGCACGUGCUGCUGUUCGUGGGUUGGUGCUUGCGAGUGUCGCCCCUACGUGGGGCAAAAAUAAGUGCGGAAGGAGCAGCCGGCAGGGGGUCCAGGUGAACGGAUCAAUCAGCGGAGGAGCUGACAGACGAGGGUCUCAAUCGCCUGAAAGGGUAGGCUUCUGUCUCACCCGCCGGUGCCCUGCUGGACUCCCAAGAAGGACACUCUCCUGAAAGGCUCCUGCACACAGGGGAGUCUGAAAUCCCGGCUGGAGAAGGAGCUCCCCGUGACCGUGUCAGAGGUACCGAGAGCUCUACAGGAGAGAAGGUUACUGCUUCCAGUCCCGCCAACUGUGGCAGCCCUGUCUUCCCCUGCCCCCUCGCCUUCCAAGCUGGAAUCCCCUGCUCCGGAAGAGACAUUGUGGAAGCAACGCAUGCAGAAUAGCUUCGGGAAAGCUGAUGUACUGGGGCUUCUCUGUGGAGAACUCGCUGGGCACGCAGGGCUGUUGUCUGCAGCGCAGCCCUGAGUCAAGGGCAGGGAUGGCACCCGGCGGCACCCAGGAGGCAGCGCAGGCAGCAUGUUUCCGUGGCAGCCCUCAGGAAUGACGAGGCAGCGAUGAUCCUGUGCUCUGCGGUGAUGAAGGAAAACUGUCGCACGUCAGUGGUCAUCAAGGCCUGGAAGGAGCUGGAAAAGAGACUCUUUGGCUUUGGAGAUUCGGUGAAGAUGCUGAUGGUCCCCGUUUGUGCGGUCUCUGUGUAGGACUCCUUGAAGUGCUGAGCACAAUGCUCUGAUGGUCAGAGUUGGUCAUCAUUGUGCUUUGAGGAGCUAUCUCUUGGGAAUAAGUGAGCUAGGUUAUGAGGGAGGCAAGCUCGAAGCCAGGGACAAGGGAGCUGCUCAGUCUCCUUUUCCUGCCCUGACCUCCUUGCUGCAUUCACCUUAGGUGGCGUCACGUAGACGUGAGCCAUCACUCUGCUUUCUGCUCACUUUCUGCUUGCUGAAGAUGGAGCAGUUCAGAAUCCUGAACUCUCCCAAGUGGGGCAACAUCACAGGUUUGGCUCUGGGCUAGAGUAUGAAAGCUCCCUUGUGGAAGAAGGUCUGGCUGCAUGGAGCUGCACUGGGUGCCCCUGUGUGCCUGCUCAUCUCCCAUAACGACCCUUGCCCAUUAAGCAGCUUUUUGGGUGGCUUCAGAAGGGUUCCUCAGCACAACUUCCCCCCCUCCCCCGGUGUCUUUCUCUCUCCCGAGCUCCAGGGCAGGCUUCUGUCUCGCCCCCUGGUCCCCUGCUGGACUCCCAAGACGAACACUCUCCUGAAGGACUCCUACGCAUGGGGGAGUCAGAAAUCCCUGCUUGAGAGGAAGCUCCCUGUGCCUGUUCCAGGGGUACUGAGAGCUCCGCAGCAGAGCGGGCUGCUACUUACAGUCCCACCAGCUGUGCCAGCCCUGUCUGCCCUUGCCCCUCACCUUGCGACCUGGAAUCCCCUGCUCUUGAAGAGACGUUGUGGAAGCAACACAUGCAGACCAGCGUGUGGAAAACUGAUGUACCGGGCCUUCUCCGUGGAGAACUCGCUGGGCACGCAGGGCUGUUUUCUGCAGUGCAGCCCUGAGGCAGGGAAGGCACCCGGCAGCACCAAGGAGGCAGCGCAGGCAACAUGUCUCCAUGGCAGCCCUCAAAAAUGACGAGGCAGCGAUGAUCCUGUGCUCUGCAGUGAUGAAGGAAAACUGUCUCACAUCAGUGAUCAUUGAGGCCUGGAAAGAUGUGGAAGAGAGACUCUUUGGCUUUGAAGGUCUGGUAAAGAUGCUGAUGGUCCCCUUUUUGCGUGCUCUGUGUAUGGCUCCCUGAAGUGCUGAGCACAAUGCUUUGAUGGGCAGGAUUGUUCAGCGUUGUCCUUUGAGGUGUUAUGUCUUGGGAAUAACUGAGCUGUUUCACCAGAGAGGCAAGCUGAAAGCUGAAGAUGAGGGAGCUGCUCAGUCUUUUUCCUGCCCUGACCUCCUUGCUGCAUUCACCUUAGGUGGCGUCACGUAGACGUGAGCCAUCACUCUGCUUUCUGCUCGCUUUCUGCUCGCUCCAGAUGGAGCAGUGUCGCAACAUGAGAAACGUGUACCGUGUUCAGUGUGAUUCAGGCAGCUUCUCUGCCUACAUUGGGUUUGCGGUAUCAUCCCAGCACCAGGCAGCAGACAAGAAGGUACUAAGCAUGUUGUGUGUCAUGCCGGCCUCUGAGGAGGAUCCUGCAUCGCCUGGUGGGCAAGGGGAAGGAGAGGCAUGGCUCUCUUCUUCAUCCCUUUGCAGACCAGCUUCUCAUCACCUUUACAGGCCAAUGGCAUGGGGAGGAUACAGGCAGGCGGAAGGAAGGUGGAGCACUGGUGCAGCAGCAGAGGCAGAACAGGCCAGAGGUCAUCCUCUCUCACCCACUGCUCAGCUGGUUCUAAUUUCUUCUCUCUCCUGCCCCAUCAUCCCGGUCUCCGCAUGCCAUCCGUCAGGAGGUUCCUCUUUUCUUGGGCGCAGGAUGGGCGGUGGUAUUAGUCCUACAAAGUCUGGCUCUCUUUGCAGGUGUCUUGCGGCGGCUGCUGCAGGAAUGAGGUGACCUGGGUGCUGAGGUGGAGGAAGAAGAGCAGGUGCAGCUGUGGCGCUAGAAGUUGCGCAGCCUGUGGUGCAGAGGCUGGUGUGCAGGAGCAGGAGAAUGUGUGGGAAGCACAGGGCUCUGGUCAGUCUCUGGUGGGGCAGAGAGCAUGUAAAGAUUUGGACUGGAAACAAAAGGCUGUUCCUAAUGGCAAGUUCUGGCAUGUAACCACAGGAGCCUAAUGGUAUGGUGGUUGAUCUCUUUUAGUUUCCAGGCCUGGCAAUUCUUCUGAUCACUCCCCUUGGCCUUCCUGCCCAGGAAAGGACCAGGUUGCAUGCUUGAUGAGCCCUGAAGGAAAAACUGCUCCCAUGCUACAUACCCUUUAUGUCAGGCACCUGCAGGCAACUUGUGGCUUGAAUGGAGGAUCUUAUUCCAAAUUCCAGCCACCAAAAGUCAGCACGCUUUCAUCUGCUGACAAAGAGAGCCUUCCAGCAGAUCCCCAUUUGAGAAAAGUCCAGACUGACCAAAUGGCCACCCAUUAACAACUUUGCUCAGCUAAUGAAAGCUUUAUUAGAUUCUCUCUGUAAGGGAAAGUUUUGCAGGCCUUAGGAAGUCUCAUUUUCACAACCUUGCUCCAGGUUCUCCCCCUCUAUUUCAUUUGUUUAAUGCUCAUCUGAAGGUCUCCCAGAAGUUUCAGCUACUCUGAGGGAAGCUGCUCAAUGCAGGUUAGCCCCUGCAUGGAUUUGGAGAGCAUUUGAAUAGAAGCAAUUGCUGCUCUUAUCUUCUUCCUUUCUGCCAGUCCAAAGUCUGUAUAUUUAUGACUGGUUUUGUUUCCAGACACUGAAUACAAAUAUUUAAUGAGAAUUGUUACCUCUUUUGCAUCACUGCAUAACAGUUCUUUACGAGGUAUACAAUUUCUACUCUUACUGAGUCUAAUCCUGUGGCUCAAGCAGGAGGGAGGCUUAGUAAGUUACACACUCGAGAGCCAAAUGAGGCUGCGCCGUGGUCAGUGCUCAGCAGGCUUCUACCAGACGUCUCCUUGCUGUGCCCUCCGAUGGACAGAGUUAGGCAGGAGAUCCUGCAGGGCCCCUGGGUGAGCUCCUCAAACUGUGCUGCUCAUCUAGUCCCACUCACAUUCUCCGGAAUGCACACACAGCUCUGUAGCCUGUGUGUUACAGCACAGAGAUGCUGCUUGUGGGGUUCUUUCAGCCUGGGGACAGCCUUGGGGACAGUCUGGCCAGGUCUCCAAUGCCUUUGCAGGCAGAGGGGAUGUGGGGCAGAGCAGGGGAGACAGAGUCUGAAGAGGUGAAGUGGUAGACUGUUGUCCCCUUGAAGGGAUGAGCAUCUGGUGUGGUGGUGCAGCCUAUGCCGGAGCCAAUGUGGCUGCCCCCAGAGGCACCCGGCAAGCGCAGGCAGGGCUUUGCUAGAGAAGAGCACUAAAAACCCCAAGUCCAUCCUGAUGAGACCUCAGGGUAGCUUAUCCUGGUUCCUCUCUCAGCACACGCAGAUGGGAGGAAGCGGCCCUGCAGCCCCUCUUGGCCUUUCCACCCACUGUUCUCCCCCUUCGGGAGGGUUAAGCACAGCCUGCCUUUUCCCACAGGGUUUCUGACCUUGCUUGGUUCUGUUAACUGCAUCUUUGGCCCUUGCUCCAGGCAGCCCGCUUUCGGACGAUGAAUACCGGGCCUUCUGUCUCAGCCUGCGGCCCCCGUGAAAGGCAGAGGUGUUGUGCACCAUGCGCCAGACAUAUGGCUGCCUUAGCCCAGGAAUCCUGAAGCUGGACCGGAAGGAGGCCCAUGGGGUUGUCGCCAAAGUUAAGGGCAUCACUCCACCUUCGAUGGCACGUAUGGCCAUUUCCCCCCCCGGAGCAAAGCUGGCGGUUUCUCUGGCCUAAAAUGCCACCAGAUUAUAGGAAUGUUGGUGGGAUGGGUUACUUUCAUGUCUAUAGCCCAAAGCCUGGGAUGGAGCAGGACGCUCCCAGCAGUAGCACCAUGGCUUUGUGCAAGGCAGUUUGCAUUUGUGGCCUCUCUGGGCAUCCCUUCCAGUGCUGCGUGCAUUUCCUGGAGAGAAAAAAAGCUUUUCUUAAUGGGAAGACCUACCCUCCCAAGCAGGAAUUUGCAGUGUUUUCCCUCUUGCUUUGUCUGGCACAACCAAGAAAAGUCUGACUUUGUCACAUUGUAGUUUUCCUCCAGGUCUUUGUGGAGGAAAAGCUUUCCUCCUUCUGCUCUUCAGUCAGCUGAACAAGUGCCCCAGCCUCUUUUCAAGGGUCAUUGGCUGAAAGCCGUGAUGACUUCAGCGGCCCUUCCCUCAGUUCUUCACUUCCUCCACCUCUCCCUCAGUGGGAUGACAGCAGAAAAAAACUGGGCACAGCUUUCUGAAGCUCAUGGAAGCUCAUUGCCUCUCCUCAACGGUUUUUCUUGCAACCAGACUGGCUCCUUCGAGCUUGAUCUGAGGUUUAGCGCAGAACCUUGGCUCAUGAGAGAGACCAGCAAAGAGAGCCCAGCAGACACUUGACUGCAUCAAGUUUUCCUUCACUUCCCAGGUGCUGGAAUGAAAACGUACUUUUCUUCUUCCCUCAUCCCAAAACAGGAAUUUUUUCUGUACCAUCAUAGGAAUAGUUUAUGACAGAGUUCCUUGGGUGCAGGAUGGGCAGUGGUAUUAGUCCUACAAAGUCUGGCUCUCGUUGCAGGUGUCUCACUAUGGCUGCCACAGGAACAAGAGUUCCUGAGUGCUGAGAAGGAGGGAGAGGAGCAGGUGCUGCUGUGGUGCUGGAAGUUGCACAGCCUGUGGUGCAGAGGCUGCUGGUCGGGAAUAGGAGGAUGUGUGGGAAGCACAGGGCUGUGGUGGGGCAGAGAGACUGGAAAUAUUUGGUUUGGAGACAAAAAGGUAUUCUUGGAUAUCUGUUAUCUUUGAACUAAGGUGGCUGUUGAGGUGCGGUGUUCCUGCACAGUUCUCCUUCCACACUGUGUUCACUCCAGUGCUGAUUGGUCACCUGUGGUGUUGAUGGCCUAUCUCCACAAUGUUUCCCUUUAAGUCCUGUGUACACUGAGGAAGCUACGCAUAAAUUGGCACAGCCCAGUUCUACUGCGAAUGUGUCUGGGAUGUAUUUUCUCAUACUCUGUGCAUUACAAAAUUAACACAUAGCUAUUCUGCUGAUUACAGCAGUGCAAAACAGCACAAGUAGCAGCACAACAGGGAUCAUCUAUGGGACAGCUAUUUUGCUUUAGGCCUAUUGAUCAGGCCCUGUCACUUCAGCAUUGGAGAAGGCAUCAGCUUUGUGGACCGGGAUUUAGAGCCACUGGCCCAUGCUUCAUUGUCUGAAGUUCCCAGCCACUCUUGGCUGCAUCCUUCUGCAGAAGUCAGUAGUUCUUCCAAGGUUGUGUCUUACUGUAUUCUACUGAGUCUCACGUAUAAAGAGCCUGUUAGUCUCAUGAACCUAAUUUGCUCCCUUCUCUCUGAUGCUGCUGCUCUGUUUACACUCCUCAGUGACGUCUCACGUCUGAGGUGAGUCUCCACUCACUCCUGGUGUUUCUCACUUGCUGCAGCCUGUGUCCUCUGAGCAUGAGCACGGCAGCGCGGCCUCAUCCCCUGCCAGCCCAUGGGACAGAGCACAGCCAGGUAUCUUCCAGGUUUCAGGUACAGUAUGUGAAGAAGUUGACAUGCAGGCUUUGCUUUUCACUGCAGCACUGCAGUUCAUGGUUUUCUUUGGCCUGUCUGUCCCCAGUCUCUUUCUGGAAGAAUUCAAAACACAAAAAGCUCACUGAGGCUGCUGAGAGGGUGCCGAGUGGGGAGAACAUAGGAGCUUUCUGUCGGGGUGGCAAACCCCAUGUCUCCUCCACUCUCUCUCAGGCCAUGUGUCUCCCGCGCACCUUCCCCUGCUUCCCCAUGUCUCUGGCCAGGCUAUCCUUUCCCAGGCUGCUUCGACAGCCUCCCACCAUCCAGGUGUGCUGCCCUCAGUGGCAGCUGUGCACCUCCACCAGGUGCUGGCACUGUUUGCUCUUGACAGAGCAGCACCAGCCACACUUGCAGCUGCACUGCUCCACUCUCUCUGUGUGUAUGGUGUGGAAGCUCCUGCCACAGCACAGGAGCUUGUGAUGAUCUAUGGCUAGAGGGGUCUACUUGCACUGGCAGUGAGAGGUGCCUGCGAUCCUGUACUGGGGGUCCCAGUCACAGAAGUGUGGGCUGUCCAUCAGGUAGACCAGCUCAUGAGUUGUGUAGGGCUUAAAGUGAGAGGUCUUGGGCACCAAGAGGUUGUAGGAACCAACCUCUAGCUCAUGAAGAUGACACAGGAAACAACAUUCCUUACUAUUAAAGAACUAUUAACUUGCCAGGAUGUUUCAUUUGUGGGCAGGCAGUUGAAUUCUGGCUCUGAAGCUGGUUCUGCUUGUGACUCUCUGGGUGCUGGUAGGACUUGUGCUGCUCCACUCCCUGCAUCUGCACAAGGUAGAGGGGAAACUAACAGUUAGUGAAUUGGAUGGUGAUAGUUUUGGGUGCUCACCUUGAUCCUCUGGUGUUUUCUGUCAUACGAUUAAGGAAGGAGCAAUGGUAAACCAUUGGAACAGGCUGCCCAGGGAAGUGGUGGAGUCUCCAUCCCUGGAGGCGUUCAAAAAGCAUGUAGACGUGGCACUUCAUGACAUGGUUUAAUAUGCAAAGUGGUGUUGGGCUGAUGAUCAGACUCGGUGAUCUUAGAGGUAUUUUCCAACCUCAAAGAUUCAAUAAUUCUGUGAGUUUAAACCUUGUAGCAGAGGAGGAGGGGUUUGUGAGUCAUGGUCCGGGGCUUUCAAGAUGCUUUCAGACAUUGCUGCUGUUGGUGGUGCUUGUGCUGGAACACGCAGAGAGGAAAAUGCUGAGAAAUAGCUGAAGUAUUUAAGGCAACAACAAGAAUGACUUGGAAGAGGAGCUUGUUCACUGAAGGGUGGUCUCUCACAAACCAGACAGGCUCUUCAGAAGGUCAGAAUCAACACGGCAAUCCAAUAGUGACAUGGAAAAUGCAAAUCCUUUCCUUGUAACAGCUGUGAGUUAUUGGCAAUUUUUUUCUUCUGAAAUAUGUUCACUUCUUGCCUUUUCUCUUAAGAAAACUAGCCAGAAACUCCACUGCCAGCGUCACCCAGUUUUUGCUGUCUAGUUCAUUGUGUUCAUCCCAGUACACUUGUAUUUUCUUUUCCAGACCUUUGAGGUUACAAGUCACUGUAGAUGAGCUGUGCUAACUGAAAGGGUGCAAGUUCAUGCCAGGGACAGCAUGAAAAUCCAGGUUGUGUCCCUGCAAAUCUGCGUGGCAGCAGGUGUGACCUGGGAGAGAAAAUCCGGUCCCAACGCUUGCAUGGCAAAAUUUGCAUGAGCAAAACUUGCAUGAGCCGGUACCAGAUGGCUAAGUAUCUAAUACAGUUUUAGCCCAAUAUGUAGAAUCAGAAUCACUAGGAUGGAAGGGACCCACUGGGUCAUCGAGUCUAACCAUAUUCCUAACACUCCUUAAACCAUGCUCCUCAGCACCUCAUCUGCCUGUCCCUUUAACAUCUCCAGGGAAGGUGACUCAACCACCUCCCUGGGCAGCCUGUUCCAGUGCCCAAUGACUCUUUCUGUGAAAAUUUUUCCUGAUGUCCAGCCUGAACCUCCCCUGGCGGAGCUUGAGGCCAUUUCCCCUUGUCCUGUCUCUUGUCACAUGGGAGAAGAGGCCAACUCCCUCCUCUCCACAACCUCCUUUCAGGUAGUUGUAGAGAGCAAGAAGGUCUUCCCUCAGCCUCCUCUUCUCCAGGCUAAACAACCCCAGCUCUCUCAGCCGCUCCUCAUAAGUCUUGUUCUCCAGCCCACUCACCAGCUUCGUUGCUCUUCUCUGGACACGCUCCAGAGCCUCAAUGUCCUUUUUGUGGUUAGGGGCCCAGAAGUGAACAUGGUACUCAAG
Cuculus canorus (common cuckoo) is the source of this 8832-nucleotide long non-coding RNA. RefSeq lists it as uncharacterized. NCBI's taxonomy places the organism in Eukaryota, Metazoa, Chordata, Aves, Cuculiformes, Cuculidae. The record is from RefSeq and is a predicted model, not a curated record. The transcript has 4 exons.